Non-coding RNA from Lagenorhynchus albirostris (white-beaked dolphin), 73 nucleotides. The record is from the annotation of a RefSeq genome assembly. NCBI's taxonomy places the organism in Eukaryota, Metazoa, Chordata, Mammalia, Artiodactyla, Delphinidae.
UCCCUGGUGGUCCAGUGGUCAGGACAUGGCACUUUCACUGCUGAGGGCCCAGGUUCAACCCCUGGCUGGGGAA